AAUGCGCAUUUUUAAAGGACAGCUGGAGAGAGGCGGAAAGGGAGAGACAGUGAGAGGGGGAACUGACACGCAGUAGAGGGGCCGCCGGGUGGAAUCAAAUCCAGGGUCGCUGCAGUGGGCGUUCUCCGACGCUCGCAGCUCAGCGUAUUUAAUUGGAGUGUUUCAAUUGAGUGUUUAAGUGACGGUGAGCGGCCUGACGCUGCGUCAUAAUUUUUUUUUUCCUGUAUGCACUCACUGUAGGUUUAGCCUACAUAGACUUAGUUUCUAAAAAGAAGUGUUUUGAAAUGGGAUCCAGGGCCCUGCUAUUAUAACCUUUAUUUAAACUCUGAGAUAUAUUGAGGAAGCAACCUCAUUUACAAUUGUGAAUAACAGUAAAAUAUCUUCAAAAUAUGAUUGGUUGUAGCCUGUUAGAUUAAAAUCCCAGGUAUUUUUUGUAUUUGGUGUCACAUUGUUCUAUUUAUAGUGGCACACUCACUGACAAAAAAAUCCAAACUGGCACUCCAUGUCACAAAGGUUGCCGACUCCUGCUCUAGAACUAUUUCGCGUAUGUCAGUGUUGAUGCUAGAUUUUUUUUAUUGGAGUGAGAACUAUUCUAAAGUAAAAAGUGUUUGGAUACAUGGUUUGUACAUCUGUGGGAAACAAAAUUCCUCAUGCACAGCAAAAAUGAAGAUCAGUUAGUUACAGGGACAUCUCAGGUGAAAAAUAAAGAUAAACCAUAACACACUGAAAUGACUUUACUGAAAUGUAUUGAUUUAUUUAGUCCAAAAACAUUUUUCCUAAAACUGUGGUACAACUGUUACUGCCCGUAUCAAUCAUGUUUGUUCUUUUUUUCCUGAGAUUACUGCUUUGAGUGUCAUCGGUGGGGUAGACAUUAAAGACACGGUGUGGAGGAUCAUGAAACACCUCUUUACCAACUCCCUGGCCAAGCAGCUUAACUGGCGGUGCGUAAAUGGAAAGACGGCUUUCCAUAGCCUCCAGUUAAAGGAUGUAAUUACUGGAACAGUGAGAAACAACCAUUUGACGGCCACUGCAACUGACCAGGAGGUGGAGGCCUAUAUAAAAAGGUGGCUUCAUCUCGCUGGAGACAGGGAUGGUGGGAGGAGAGAGAGGGAGGAGAAAAGGCGUGCCUCACAGCACACACGGCCACAAGAAGACGAGCAGUGAUG
Epinephelus fuscoguttatus (brown-marbled grouper) is the source of this 1166-nucleotide long non-coding RNA. RefSeq lists it as uncharacterized. The record is from RefSeq and is a predicted model, not a curated record. Lineage: Eukaryota; Metazoa; Chordata; Actinopteri; Perciformes; Serranidae. The transcript has 3 exons.